Molecule: non-coding RNA, 26 nt
Filed under: Mus musculus (house mouse)
Lineage: Eukaryota; Metazoa; Chordata; Mammalia; Rodentia; Muridae
Source: RNAcentral
UGGUCAAUGCAAAGCGACGGUGCAAG